This 1264-nucleotide long non-coding RNA is filed under the name Monodelphis domestica (gray short-tailed opossum). RNAcentral describes it as "lncRNA (ENSMODG00000046710.1)". Lineage: Eukaryota; Metazoa; Chordata; Mammalia; Didelphimorphia; Didelphidae. The record is from RNAcentral.
CUGGUGAAGAAUGUGCUGACUGGACCUAAGACCCUAUUCCUGGUGAGGCUGUUCUACUGACACAUGAGCAGAGGACUUGGAGGAUCUUGGAGUGGGACAUUGGUAUGGCUUGGGACUUCAACCUGGGAACUCUGGCUCUUGAACUGCUUCUGGAAAGACUGCUCCUGGAUCUUCUCCUUUGAAGCUUCAUGUGGGUGUCUGGACAGAGGGGUGGGGCAUGCAAAAAACUGUCCUUGGUCUCCAGGAAGAUGGGGAAUGGAGUAGCUCCCUGAGUGCCAGCCAUUACUGUCCAGCAUUAAACAUGAGUGGAUUCUUGUGAUCUGUGAAGGGAAACUGUGGAGGUGAAAACAUGUGGCAAAGAAAAAGGAUUAAAAUGAAAGACUCAUGAAAAAAGGACACACACACAGAGAGUACAGAAGCAACAUAAGCAAACUGCUUCAACCAGUAGCCACUUAAGGUUUGUAUUUAAAUGUAAAUGGCCGACUGAAAGCAAAGAGAAUUCACACCACUAAAGAAACAACAAAUGUUUUCCCACAGGCAUUAUAAGAAUUUACAAGGUUUUACAAGAUUUGUGGGAAAGGAAGUCAAUUCCUAAAGUUGCUGUAAGUAAGCAAGUAAGAUACCUAUGUUGUAGCAGUUCAGCUCCUACAAAAAAGUUCUUGAGUAGAUUUUAUCACCUAGAAGGGAAGCCAAGGAUUGGGAGACUAUGGUUAAAAGGUUUAAAGAUUAAGGGAGGCAAGACAUAAGUUAGACAAACACAUAAGAUGUAAGAUUUGAAUUUAGGUUUUGACUCAAUAUGACAGUUAAAAAAGUGGUCAUUAUUUAUAAAAUAUUAGCCCCUAAGUCAAAAUGACUAUUAGCAGCUUUUAUUUACAACAAGGUAGAAAAAAACGAAAGUAGGAAAUGUAGAAAAGGGACUGAGCAUUAACAAGCUUACCAGCCCUAAAUGCCUCUCCAGUGAAGUUUGGCUUAGACCCCUGCAAGGGCUACUCAAGUUCUGAUCUCCAUAUGAAAGUCUAAUAGUCUCCAGCAAGAGUCUCUCCACAAGCCAAGGAAGAAAUCUCUGGAACCAAUCUUUCCACAAGCUAAGGCAGCAAAGAGAGUCAAGGAACCAAUCUCUCCAAAAACCAAAGAAGGGAAGGGAAUCCAGACUUUGUUGGUCUCUUUUUAUACUCCAUUUCCCAUAUUAUUUCCUGUCUCUCCCCCUCUUCACAGAAAAUAAUAGCAGUCUUUCAGUUUGCCUAAUACUGCCCAGGGGAACAGU